Molecule: long non-coding RNA, 226 nt
Filed under: Physcomitrium patens
Lineage: Eukaryota; Viridiplantae; Streptophyta; Bryopsida; Funariales; Funariaceae
Description: long non-coding RNA (PPAT_LNC006614)
Source: RNAcentral
CUUUAUUAUAUUAUACAAUAUAUCAUUUGAAAGACUUAAUUGAAUUGUGCUUAUUAUUAUUAUACUAAUAUUUUUUCAUUCUUUGCAUGUUCAUUUCUAAGAACUUAUGCUUAAAUUUUGCAUUUGAGAUCUUUGUUGCCAUUACAUCAUCUAAACCACGUUUAACAUCACUUAUAAGUAAAUGAAAUACAAAAUUAUAUAUGUUCAAAGAAGUAUUUUAAAAAAU